RNAcentral lists this long non-coding RNA (232 nucleotides) under Lathyrus oleraceus (garden pea). RNAcentral's name for it is "Pisum sativum (pea) long non-coding RNA (PSAT_LNC029543)". Lineage: Eukaryota; Viridiplantae; Streptophyta; Magnoliopsida; Fabales; Fabaceae. The record is from RNAcentral.
UUAAGUUUCUUGGAUCUAAUUCUGAUUGAAAUGCAAUAUGAAAUGCUAAAUGAAUGCAUGAAUGAGGAGGGCAAAUUUUGGGGUGUUACAGAUCUUCACAUUCGGAACUAGGCAGAGUUCAGCAGCAGACUUGCCAAAAAGAUCCUUUCCUCGAAGAGUUUUCAAUUCCUUGCGGAGCUCAAGAAAUUGAUCAUUCAUAGCGUCCAUCUUCUCAUAGACAUUUGGGCCCUCA